AAAGCAAAGACGGCUGGGAAAUCCGGGAAUAAAUCAGCGGCAUCAAGUCUAAAAAGCAGAGGAGGAGGAGGAUUGGAUCUCCUAAGCAGAGCAGAGGAAUUGUAAGGGAUUGAACGAGGUAACCAGCGAGAAAAAGAUCGUGAAAGAGCUCAGUCUCGCGGCGGCGCCAAGAAGGGUGGCAAGAAUGAUGGCCUCACCCCCGAGCAACGCCGCGAAAGGGAUGCAAAGGCGCUACAAGAGAAGACGGCCAAGAAGGCCUCCGGUGCCGGCCAAACUAGUGGUGGAGGUACCACCACCAACAAAUAACGCCCUCUUAUAAUCCCUUAUUACUACUCUUUAUUAUAACAAUAAAUUCAUACUCUAUAUGUCAUGCUGUUUUUUGAAUCAAGGAUUCUCAGUUAAGUUUGUUCUCUCGUGUCCGUGCAUUUCGAAUAACGAUUCCUCGUGUGUACUGUUAUCUUUUAAUUGCUACUUCUACUGUAUUCACACUCUAUUAUAAAAGUGGGGUUUUGAAGAAUGGUUUAAUUGCUAUUUCCAUUA
Long non-coding RNA from Chenopodium quinoa (quinoa), 540 nucleotides. RefSeq lists it as uncharacterized. The transcript has 3 exons. The record is from RefSeq and is a predicted model, not a curated record. Lineage: Eukaryota; Viridiplantae; Streptophyta; Magnoliopsida; Caryophyllales; Amaranthaceae.